This 88-nucleotide transfer RNA is filed under the name Betaproteobacteria bacterium. Its description in RNAcentral is "tRNA-Leu". It matches the Rfam family "tRNA". Rfam says of the family: Transfer RNA (tRNA) molecules are approximately 80 nucleotides in length. Their secondary structure includes four short double-helical elements and three loops (D, anti-codon, and T loops). Lineage: Bacteria; Pseudomonadati; Pseudomonadota; Betaproteobacteria. The record is from RNAcentral.
GCCCGGGUGGUGGAAUCGGUAGACACAAGGGACUUAAAAUCCCUCGCCCUAAUACGGCGUGCCGGUUCGAAUCCGGCCUCGGGCACCA